Molecule: non-coding RNA, 2806 nt
Organism: Saimiri boliviensis boliviensis (Bolivian squirrel monkey)
Lineage: Eukaryota; Metazoa; Chordata; Mammalia; Primates; Cebidae
Source: RefSeq, a predicted model, not a curated record
UAUGUUGCCCAGGCUGGUCUCGAACACCUGGCCCAGUUGUUUUCUUUGAUUGUCUGUUCACCUCUCAUGUCCAUUUUUGGGAUAGGGUUGCUGUUUUCUUGCCGCUCUGCAGCCAUUUCUUAUAUUGUCUAACCUGGAUAUCACUCCUUGGGCGGUUUAACGUGGAGAGUAUUACCGUCAUUCUGACAUCUUCAGAGCCCUUUGAAAUAUGACUCCUCUCCUUCCUGCUGGCCUUUCCAGUUCCUUCGUGAGUGGAUGGCACAGGGGAGGCCCUUCUCUGUCUCUGCCCUUUCGGUAAAUGCCAGGUGUCUGGGACAGGGUACAGCUUACAACAGGAACUUGCUUCUAGCAUGGGGCCGGGCAUGGGGGAGGGAUAGGCCAGGGCAGGAUGGCAAUGCCCCAGGGCCCUGUCCCUACUCCUGGGGCCCUUGUCCUGGCAAGUCUCAGCCCAGCAUGGUCAGGAUUCCUUCAUUCCACACACAAAAGCACUGGGCUGGGUCAUGGUGUUGGGUCUGAGGCCUCAAACUUGACUACGACCCUGUCUCUGGCCUUAGAACCUUGAAGCCCACCAUGGGGAAAUAACAAGUCCACAAACCAGGGUGGCGGCCGGGUCAAGGCCCCAAAGAGGCCGCAGGCCCUGAUAGCUGGUCUGAUGCAUGCCAACACACCUGUCCUGGCAGAACACAGCUUGGCUGUCUGGCAGGACAGCUAUCACCGGUCAGGGUGAGCUUUCUAGAGGCGGUAUCUUCAGUCUGGGCUUUAAAGGAAGCAUGAGAGUUCUCCAGGCCUCAGCAAGGUCUUAUUCAAAGCUCUGGGUGGGAACAGGAGUAGAGCCUGGCAUCUCGAUUCCCGGGGAAUGUGGUUUCUUUGGCCCCUGGCUUCUCUUUCUGAGCAGCAGCAGGGAAAAGGAAGUUGGCUUGGGGUUAGCAGGUCUGCCUCUAUCCUCACUCUCUGAGUGACUGUGGGCAAGUCCCUUCUCCUCUGUGGCCCUUGGCCCCCUCAUCUGAAUGAUGCAGUCAUGGGGUGGAGAGAAGCUCCCCAGGACCCUCACAAAUCCCCUGGAAGACCCCAGUAGGGCAGCAGUGGCUGUCUUUCCCUUUUCACCCUGUCAUACCCCUCAAGGACAAGAGUGACGAGGACAGAGGCUGCCCUGGUCCCUGGCCCCAGACCCUCUGCUGCCUCUCACCUAUGUGGACCCCCUUUCUAACAGCCCCCAGGCAAGGCUGUGGCUCGCUUCUCAGGGUUUUCUUUCAGAGCCUCUGUACUUUUCAAAGAAUAGCUACUGUGAAUUGAGCAGGCCCUGUGUGCCAGAUGCAAUGCUUAGCAUUUUACACUGAGGACCUCAUUUUCUUCUCACGAUCUGUGAGCUGGGUACUACUAGUAUCCACAUUUUGCAGAUGACACUGAGGGGCUCAGAGAGGGUAAGCCACCUGCCCAAGGUCACCCAGCUUAUAAGCUGCAGGGCCAGGAUCCAAACCCAGCUCUGCCUGCUCCAGAGCCCAUUUUCUAAUCUCUUCCCAGGUCACAUGGGUCUUCCCUUUCUUAAAUUCCAACCAUUGACCAGUUAGCACUCCUCAGCCAAGCCCUUGCCAUGCAUCUCUUACCCACCCCGCCAUACCUCCACCCUUCCCAGAUUCACCCCCUUUCCUGCUGGAGCCCUGCUGGCCCCGCCUGAGCUUCUGCUUGUUUCUCUGCAUCUCCUUGGAGUAUGCCCACUCUCUCCAGGACUCCAGUGGGGGCUGAGUGCCCACAGGAAGCUGAGGGGCUCCCUGAGGCUUCUCAUUAAACCCUACCUUACAUGGACACUGACUCCACAGAGGGCUUGGGUGGGGUCUCACAUCCCGGGGAGUUACCAUCCUUCCUGAGGUUGAGCAGGGUCAACUAUGUAGCAGGUCACCCUCUGGGGCCCAGCAGGCCUGAGGCGUUGGGCCCUGGCAGCUGGUCUGGCACGUGCCUGGCCUGGGAAGCCUGAAGGGUAUGUGUCUGUCCUGCUGGAAGCCGCUGGAUUAUCAGAAGGGAAUGAAAGGGGUGGGACACAUCUCCUGGGACGUGCGGGGACUCAUGCAUGCAUGUGUGUGCGUGCGUGUGUCUCUGCAUGUGCAGCUGUGCCUGCCAAGGGCAUUGUGAGUCUGGCCCUGAGGAAGGUUCUGUGUGCAACACUUGACUCCUGUGCAUUUAGCAAAAUCAGCACGGUGCUGAGACCAGCAUGCCUCUGAUACAUCUUCACUGUUAUUAUUUUUAUAAUCAAAAGCCAAAAUCACAUUUUCAUCCCGCCCCGCCCCUCACCCCCCAGGUAAAUCCUGUCUUCCACAUGAAACCCAAGCUGGUGGAAGGCUGGGAGUGGGUGUGUAAAAUGAACCCGGGGCUCGGAGCUCAGCUGCCUGGGCCAAGUCCUGGCACUGCCUCUCUUCCAGCUGCAAGACCAUUUCACCUGCUCAGCCUCAGCUUCCCAUCUGCCAGUGAGGGCCAACCUGUCUGGAAUGGUGGCUGAAUCUCUAAUGAACCCCAUGAUGUGCAAACAGUGAUAAGAAUUGGAGAAAAUGAUGCCUGCAAGGUGUUCAGUAGCACUUGGGGGAAGAGCAGCCACUGUCCUUUUUGCCUGGAGCCAGGCCUGGUGCUGCAUGACCUGGGCAGAGGCCGCCUUGAUCAUCUCCACCCAUCAGGUUCUGAACGAAUCAUGUGUCAGGCUAGAUACUUAGACGGACAAGACAAGCCAUCUCCUGUCCACAGCUGCCCCACCUGAAGUCUAGGCCAGUGACCUCUGAAGUUUUUUCAUCAUAUGCCCUUGGCAAUAAAAAAAAUUGUU